Molecule: unclassified non-coding RNA, 345 nt
Filed under: uncultured Mortierellales
Lineage: Eukaryota; Fungi; Mortierellomycota; Mortierellomycetes; Mortierellales
Description: sequence contains ITS2
Source: RNAcentral
AACGCAUAUUGCGCUCUUUGGUAUUCCGAAGAGCAUGCUUGUUUGAGUAUCAGUAAACACCUCACAAUCAAUUUUUAUUUGUUUAGAGAUUGAAAGUGGAUUUGAGUAAUCCGUACUUUUUGUCAACGCAAAAGGGCCGGUUACUUGAAAUGCAGGUGCAGCUGGAUUUACAACUGAGCUAUAAGCAUAUCUAUUUAGUCUCGUAAAACAGAUUAUUCAUUUUGCUAAAGCUACUCUAAGGUUGAAUCUCCAUAUGGCUGACUGAUGCAGAUUAACAGAAUGGAUUUAAAAACCCCACUUUGUAAACUCGAUCUCAAAUCAAGCAAGACUACCCGCUGAACUUAA